UAUUGAAGUCCAAUUAGUAAAGCAAAAUAGAUUUUUAACGGUGUCUGGAUUGAAAACACCACAAAAAGUAAAGCAUUAGCUGCGUUUUUUAUGAACACCAAAAAAGUAAACAAUAGCAAUUUUUUCUCAUAAAUGACAGAAAAAGUAAAACAUUAGUGGCGUUUUUUUUCAUAACCGCCGCAAAGGUAAAGCAGGCUUUGGUUCUUUUUUCACAGAACCGGUAUCAGCAAACCUCCACAAAAACCUAAAAGGAUUUUAUUGUUGGAACUGAAGUUUUAAGGUGAUGGCGAGAAUCAAACCACAAGCUCUGCUACAACAGAGCAAAAGGAAGAAAGGGCCAGCUUGAAUAAGUCUUACAACAAUUAUAGUGUUGGCUUUGAUUGUCGUUUUGAUUCUGUUUUUUGUGUAUGCCACCCUACAGUCACUGGUCUCAAAGGGUGACAACUCUUUCAUGGAUUCAAAGAAAUCUGAUCUUCCAGGACAUGCUGUAGGUUCCUUACUUGCUAAGCUCUUUCCUAAUUAAUAUUUGGUGCCUGUGUGAAUAAUGUCUACUUUCUUGUAAUACUGGCCUGCAACGUGCUGUGCUUGGUUCUGAGAAACAAUAUUGACCUAGGUGAUUAACUUACAAUGUGUUUUUUUAUCCAAUGCAUAUAUAUAUUUUUAUCUAUUUAACCAGCUUUCUGCGAUUAAUUUUUUUUUUUCAGCUUGCACAUGUGUCUUAUGAGCACUUGAAUUCAUCAAAAGACAUUACAGAAGAAAUUCUUUUAUCAUGUUCUUGGUUGCAUCACCUAUUAAGGAAACAUAUAUUUCCUUAUGUCUCUCAAUAAGGCAUUUCUUUUAUCUAUUUAACCAGCUUUCUGCAAGUAAAUUUUUCCUUCAUCUUGCAGGCACGUGUCUUGUGAGUACAUGAAUUCAUCACAUUACAAAAGAAAUUCUUUUAUCAUGUUCUCGGUAGCAUCACCUAUUAAGAAAACAUUUCAUUAGCAUGUCUCUCAAUAAAGCAUCUGUUUUUGGUAUUCCUUUGAGGUUUUUCAAUUGUAUCCUACAAUCUUGACAGGUUCGCUUUUUGUGAUGAAUGAAAUUUAGUGAGUUGUUCAUUUAUUACUUUGUUUUACUUUUAGGCUUUUAUAUCGAAAUCUUAUUCAGAAUGAGUUUUAUCCACUGAAUUAGCUCUGUUUUACCCCUUCUUAUGACUAGAUUUUAGAUACUGUGAAAGGCUCUAUAACAGUGGAGCUCUUCAAGGACAGUUCUCCUGAAGUUGUUGAUCAAUUCCUUGAUUUAUGGUGGUCAGAUGUUGCUUGGAGCAUGCAGCAUCAGUGGCCAAGACAUUCUUGAUGUCCGAUUGUGUGGUUGUGGAAAUAAAGGAACCCGAGCCCGUGCCUGCGGGAACCCCAUGGAUAAUUCAGGAUACUGCUACUAAAGCAGAUGUUGAAGGGAAACCGAAUAAGGUAUCAAAUCUCCAUCGUAGCAAUGAUGAACCUGUUUAAGAGUAGAAUGCUUAUUUUCGUUGUUCAUUAAUUAUUGAAAAAUCCUUAAUAUCCCGGUGAUAUAUAGGAUUUGCAUUUUGCAGUUCAGUGUAACGAUUUUGAACAUCAUUUUUUAGUGAAAAGAAGAAAGUUGUUAUUUA
Molecule: long non-coding RNA, 1627 nt
Organism: Gossypium arboreum
Lineage: Eukaryota; Viridiplantae; Streptophyta; Magnoliopsida; Malvales; Malvaceae
Exons: 5
Source: RefSeq, a predicted model, not a curated record